GCCGACAGAGUUUGAUCCUGGCUCAGAACGAACGCUGGCGGCAGGCUUAACACAUGCAAGUCGAGCGCUCGCAGCAAUGCGGGAGCGGCAGACGGGUGAGUAACGCGUGGGAACAUACCCUCCGGUUCGGAAUAACGCAGGGAAACUUGUGCUAAUACCGGAUACGGUCGAGAGGCGAAAGAUUUAUCGCCGGAGGAUUGGCCCGCGUUCGAUUAGCUAGUUGGUGGGGUAAUGGCCCACCAAGGCGACGAUCGAUAGCUGGUCUGAGAGGAUGAUCAGCCACAUUGGGACUGAGACACGGCCCAAACUCCUACGGGAGGCAGCAGUGGGGAAUAUUGGACAAUGGGCGCAAGCCUGAUCCAGCCAUGCCGCGUGAGUGAUGACGGCCUUAGGGUUGUAAAGCUCUUUCGCUAGGGACGAUAAUGACGGUACCUAGACAAGAAGCCCCGGCUAACUUCGUGCCAGCAGCCGCGGUAAUAACCUAAAUAGCUA
RNAcentral lists this ribosomal RNA (492 nucleotides) under uncultured bacterium. RNAcentral describes it as "bacterial SSU rRNA". It matches the Rfam family "Bacterial small subunit ribosomal RNA", at positions 1 to 537 of the family's 1533-position model. The record is from RNAcentral.